Molecule: ribosomal RNA, 405 nt
Filed under: uncultured bacterium
Lineage: Bacteria
Description: partial 16S ribosomal RNA
Rfam family: Bacterial small subunit ribosomal RNA
Source: RNAcentral
AUUGAACGCUGGCGGCAGGCCUAACACAUGCAAGUCGAACGAGUGGCGGACGGGUGAGUAAUGUCUGGGAAACUGCCCGAUGGAGGGGGAUAACUACUGGAAACGGUAGCUAAUACCGCAUACCAUCGGAUGUGCCCAGAGGGGAUUCGCUAGUAGGUGGGGUAACGGCUCACCUAGGCGACGAUCCCUAGCUGGUCUGAGAGGAUGACCAGCCACAUGGGAACGGAGACACGGUCCAGACCCCUAGGGGAGGCAGCAGUGGGGAAUAGUGCACAAUGGGCGCAAGCCUGAUGCAGCCAUGCCGGGUGUAUGAAGAAGGCCUUCGGGUUGUAAAGAACUUUCAGCGAGGAGGCGUUACUCGCAGAAGAAGCACCGGCUAACUCCGUGCCAGCAGCCGCGGUAAUA